Molecule: small nuclear RNA, 18 nt
Filed under: Arabidopsis thaliana (thale cress)
Lineage: Eukaryota; Viridiplantae; Streptophyta; Magnoliopsida; Brassicales; Brassicaceae
Description: snRNA_07988
Source: RNAcentral
CUUCUCAAGCUUCUCUCU